CAGUCGAACGGAACUGUUUUGAAGAUUUCUUCGGAAUGAAUUUGAUUUAGUUCAGUGGCGGACGGGUGAGUAACGCGUGAGUAACCUGCCUUCAAGAGGGGGAUAACAUUCUGAAAAGAAUGCUAAUACCGCAUGACAUAUCGGAAUCACAUGGUUUUGAUAUCAAAGAUUUUAUCGCUUGAAGAUGGACUCGCGUCCGAUUAGUUAGUUGGUGAGGUAACGGCUCACCAAGACCGCGAUCGGUAGCCGGACUGAGAGGUUGAACGGCCACAUUGGGACUGAGACACGGCCCAGACUCCUACGGGAGGCAGCAGUGGGGGAUAUUGCGCAAUGGGGGCAACCCUGACGCAGCAACGCCGCGUGAAGGAUGAAGGUUUUCGGAUUGUAAACUUCUUUUAUUAAGGACGAAACUUGACGGUACUUAAUGAAUAAGCUCCGGCUAACUACGUGCCAGCAGCCGCGGUAAUACGUAGGGAGCAAGCGUUGUCCGGAUUUACUGGGUGUAAAGGGUGCGUAGGCGGCUUUGCAAGUCAGAUGUGAAAUCUAUGGGCUCAACCCAUAAACUGCAUUUGAAACUGUAGAGCUUGAGUGAAGUAGAGGCAGGCGGAAUUCCCCGUGUAGCG
Molecule: ribosomal RNA, 623 nt
Filed under: uncultured bacterium
Lineage: Bacteria
Description: bacterial SSU rRNA
Rfam family: Bacterial small subunit ribosomal RNA
Source: RNAcentral